UCCACCCCAGCCGUCAAACGAACCUUAGCCCCUUUCUCCUUCCCCUCGAUCCCAACGAGCCGUCGCACCCCUCUCUCUCUACCUCCCACUGCAUCCUUUCCUCGCCCGCUGCCGCCGGCCUUGUCUCUACACCAGCCUCCUCCUCUCCUCUACAUCAUGUCGUGGUUGAUCCCAUCGCUGGCCUUCUCCACUGCUUGCCUUCCUCUUCCAUGUCGCUGUCAAUCCAGAUCGGACGUAGGUCAUCGUCGUGGGAGAGCAGCGGCAGCGGGGUCUUCAUGGUGCGGGUGAGGAUGUAGGGGAGGGGUAGGAUGCGGACGACAAGGAGAAGGAGGAGGCUGGCGAGGAAGGGAAGCAACAGCGAGGAAGGAGCAGGUGAGCGAUCCUAGCAGGGGGAAGGGGCAGGGUGAGACCUCGCUGGCAGGUCGACUUGUCGCGCCACUGUGUCGUCACCUCCUCUGCGCCAUUAGAGGCGCCACCUCUGCGUCCACCCCCACUAGGCAAGGAGCUCGAGGUGAACAGGCAGUGUGGGAAGGCGAGAGGAAGCAGGAGCUCGUCCCUCCUCCCAUGGCUUCCUUGUGGAUCGGAGUAUAAGGAGGACAACACGUGCCUGUUGCAGGCGGCUCGAGCAACGCGAACUAGGGUGCUUUGGAUGGUGGUCUUGAUAUUCCGCACAGUGACAAGAGAUUUGGUGGCUUCGAGACGGAUGAUAAGCAGUUGGACACUAAGAUUCACCGCAAAUUCAUUUAUGAAGAUCAUGUUGCUGACUGCAUGAAGUUAAUAGCUGAUGAGGAGACUGAGAAGUGCCAAUUUCACUUUAGUGGGUACAUCAAGAAGGGGAUUGCGGCUGAUGACAUGGAAGCACUGUACAAGAAGGUUCAUGCUGCCAUUUGUGCUGAUCCUACCAUGGCAAAAUCAACCAAGGAACCUCCGAAGACGCACAAGAGGUAGAUAUAUCUUGCUGUUUAUUAAAGUCAGACAGCUUAAUUCAACACUUCCAUUGGAUUGCAAGUUAACGGGACUGUUCGCUGCAAGUAUAAUCUCAAGAAGCAUUGAGGUAGGUACACAACUUGCCAUGUAUGUGAUGUUGCAGCUCAAAAUUAAGAUGUUGUCAAUCCAAUAAGAGAAGCCAAGGAGAUAUUGGCGAUCGUGUGGUGCGCGACCUUAUACUGGACCAUGAAGUUUACCAGUAUGUAGUAAUGGGUAUCAGUGUUUUCUCAUACUCAUGUAGUCCAUUCAUUCCUAAACUAUAUGUUCUUCUUUUGUUAAAACCUUGAAGUAUUAAGAUGUUAGGGUAAAUAAAUUCCUUCAGAAUCAAUAAUAGAAAAGUUUUGCUAUGCAAUAAGAUACAGUUGCAUGCAAAAAAUAAUCUUGUCUUAUAUAGUUAUAUAUCAAAACUAUGGAUUUGCUAUGCACUUCAUGUGAUCAUUAUUGUUCACUGUUUUUCUUCGGACUUUGUUCGACACCUACGGCAUCGUUGUGUCGGACGUGACGGACGCUGCCAGGUCCACGCCGACAUCGUGCUCAGGGAGCCUAGCCUCUUUGUCGUGUUCUCCAUCUUGCAGUGCAUGAUGAACUACAUUGUACAGUUCAGCUGUGUUUCCCCUAUUUUCUUCUACUAUAAGAGUUCUAACGAUUUGUACUGUUUGGCUGCAAAUUUAUGCCGUUUGCAUCACCAUAUGGAUAGUCGUAACAAAUGAAGAGAUUUCAGAGAGUUUCACAAUCUGACUUGAGUCACAAGCUAUAGGUUAACUUUAAUUGAAUGGUAGUAUGGGAGUAAAAAUCUAGAAAUGAUCUUGUUGAUCAUAUCGAUCUUCCUGGUAAUCUGCUCACCUAUGUUGUAUUAGUGGUGUUGGGUUAAAAAUCAAUAGUGAUAUUUAAAAAAGCUAAAGGUGAUUGUUGUAGUUACCGUGAUCCUCCAAGUGAAUCAUAAUAAUGAUGAGAAAACAUACCCAAAAAAACAUAAAAUGGAUUAAAAGGAAACCCACUUUCCAGGAUUGUGGUUUGAAGAGAGAAUGGAUGCAGGCUUUGUCUCAAAGAGAUUAUCUGACAAGAAUGAAUUAGUCAUCAACAAUUGAGAUGCAGCGAACCUUCUUACUUGCUCCACCUCCGGACUAUGUUAUUCUCUUUUUUUCUCCUUCGUUGUUGUGUCGUUCGACUGCAUCUUUAUUAGUUCAAACUCAUGCUUGUUUUAGCUAGGAUGAAUUUAGGAAUGGUUGCCAUUUCAUGGUACAGCUGAGCUGAUGUUGAGUAUGUGUUUGUCUGUAGCGGUUCAUUUCCUUCCUUUUCUUUCUGCAACAUUUCGCUCACUUGCUUAUAGAAAGAUUCAUCACAUAGGCCUUUAGCUUGAUUUUCCCGCAUACCAUGAGAACCAGCAUGACUUUGGAUAUAUGUUUCUGCAGGUUUCAAAAUGUAUCCAAGAUUGCAGGGAAGUUAAUUACACCAUCAGUGGAAGCUGGACAUAGCCCCUCAGGUAAUUUACAUGUUGGCAAGGACUUGUUGCUGCAGCCUGGUAAUAAUUGCUUGGCCAAUUUCCCAACCCAAAUCCAGAAACCGCUUCAUCUUUAGAUCUUUACGUGCUUUGAUGAAAUGCCUGAGUGACUAAGUUCUGCACUUUGUUUUUCUUUGUUUUGCUCACGGAUUAACCGAUGGCUGCAGGACCCAUGGAAGCAUUAGGAAUUGGUUCAUAACGUCUUCUAGUGUACGCGUAGACACAAUUCACUUUCCUUUUCUUUUCAAACUUUUUAUAGAUGAUGUGGUUGAGUUACUAAGCCUCUUCUUGCUGUGUCUUCGGCGAGACCGAAGGGUGUGAGCAAUUUCACUGAGGCUGAUGCAAUCUUUGGACCAGUAGUGACGCCGGUGCUUAUAUAUCCCAUGACUCGUUCUUUCAGCUCAAUAUCCAUACACUACUUGUUUGUAUUCUGUAUUCCAGUGCAAAUUAUGAUUGUUGCUAAACACUUCUGCAUGUAAGUGCACUACUCUCUGUACUAAAAAAAUGUCACUGCACUACCAGAAUGCUAGCAUGCAUUCAUUUUUACAAUUGUUCAUCUUAUUUCUUUGUUCGUCACUAAGAUUCAUCUAUGACCACCUCUUUGAGGAGAUCAACUAAUCUUCUUGUCGCAGUUUUUGUUGAAACAUUGAUUAGGUGCUCCAAGAAUGUAUGUGAGCUUGACAUUGUAUUUAACUUCCUCAAGGUACAAUGAUUCUCUUUAUUUGUUAUUUUAUUCUAGAUUGUCACUAUCAUAAUAAAUAAAGUCCAGAAUAACAUUGGUGUUUUUUUUUAUCCUAGCAUGUACUCCCUCCGUUCCUAAAUAUAAGUCUUUUUAGAAAUUUCAGUAAGGACUAUAUACAGAUGUAUACAGACAAGCAUACGCUUUUUUGUAGAUUAGUUGCAUAGUUUCAUAUGUUGAACUGCGUUGUUGAGUGUAGUGUGUAGGCUAUUUCUAGAUUUCUCAGCAGGCGAUCAACGCGGCACAUGUGGAGGCUUUGAGAGCUAUGAGCAGGAGCAGAAGACACAUUACUCUUCACGCCACUCUGAGCAGCCGAGAUGUUGACUGCUGCAUGAAUCCUGAGAUUGAUUUCCACGUUGUAAGGGAAGGGAAGCCUGUUUCAGUUCCUGUAUGAAAGGAUAAAGAAGAAGGGGCAUGCUGUCGUGAUAGUUGCUGAAUGUUUUGAUCAGGAGUUGAUUACCCAGACCGAUGACCAGAACCGAGAGAGCAGGAUGAGUAUGUCAACAUGAUGUUCCUUGAUAUUGGCCUUCUAUAAAGUUUACAUGCAAAUCUCCUCCAUGGUUAAAAAAACAAUUUAAACAUUUUGUUUCUUUGAUGGUUAUUCAUUUCUCUUACCUUUGUUGUAUCAAAAUAAUUGUAUUUUUGUUGAUGGCCGCUUGGGCUCAUUUUCUAGGAGAAUGAGAUGUGGGAUAAACUAAUCUAAAAUGUUUGGUUCCCUUCAAACAAUUUAUUAGCUAACUAAUUUCUGCUGUUGCUG
Molecule: ribosomal RNA, 3984 nt
Filed under: Triticum aestivum (bread wheat)
Lineage: Eukaryota; Viridiplantae; Streptophyta; Magnoliopsida; Poales; Poaceae
Description: partial small subunit ribosomal RNA
Source: RNAcentral